AAAUGACAAAAAAUGAAAUUAAUGACAAUGUCUCGAGGCCUGGGUUACGCCUACGAAACAUCUCUCACACAUGUAUCCCGAGGAUUCUUUACAAAAUGGCGAAACCAGGAUUUUUUGAGGGGUUACCAGACCAGUUCCUUCCGGAUUACAAGAGUCCGUGUUUUAUGUUUAAACAUGGAAACACUGAGAUACUGCGCUGUUUGCCUUACUUCUAUAUACUUGGAAUUAUGAAGUGUGGCACCACGGAACUUUGGCAUAAAUUGGCGGCUCACCCUCAGGUCUACGCCAAAGGAGUUAUUUCGAAAGAAGUAGGUUGGUGGUCCCUCAAUAGACGGAGAACAACGCCGUUCGCAUCCUACCUGGAAUCAAGAUCCGCGAAAAUGGUCCAGUUGUUCGACAGGUUUGAAUAUCAGAAAAAUCGUCUAGUGAUAGGUAGGUGGUAUCCCUUUAAAUCAGUAUCGUUUCUAGCGGAGUUUCAUCAACCACCCGCC
This is a long non-coding RNA of Strongylocentrotus purpuratus (purple sea urchin), 491 nucleotides long. RefSeq lists it as uncharacterized. Lineage: Eukaryota; Metazoa; Echinodermata; Echinoidea; Camarodonta; Strongylocentrotidae. The record is from RefSeq and is a predicted model, not a curated record. The transcript is spliced from 3 exons.